RNAcentral lists this ribosomal RNA (492 nucleotides) under uncultured bacterium. RNAcentral's name for it is "partial 16S ribosomal RNA". It matches the Rfam family "Bacterial small subunit ribosomal RNA", at positions 29 to 507 of the family's 1533-position model. The record is from RNAcentral.
AGUGAACGCUGGCGGUAGGCCUAACACAUGCAAGUCGAACGGCAGCACAGUAAGAGCUUGCUCUUACGGGUGGCGAGUGGCGGACGGGUGAGGAAUACAUCGGAAUCUACUUUUUCGUGGGGGAUAACGUAGGGAAACUUACGCUAAUACCGCAUACGACCUACGGGUGAAAGCAGGGGAUCUUCGGACCUUGCGCGAUUGAAUGAGCCGAUGUCGGAUUAGCUAGUUGGCGGGGUAAAGGCCCACCAAGGCGACGAUCCGUAGCUGGUCUGAGAGGAUGAUCAGCCACACUGGAACUGAGACACGGUCCAGACUCCUACGGGAGGCAGCAGCGGGGAAUAUUGGACAAUGGGCGCAAGCCUGAUCCAGCCAUACCGCGUGGGUGAAGAAGGCCUUCGGGUUGUAAAGCCCUCUUGUUGGGAAAGAAAAGCAGCAGGUUAAUACCCCGCUGUUCUGACGGUACCCAAAGAAUAAGCACCGGCUAACUUCGUG